UACGUAGGUGGCGAGCGUUGUCCGGAUUUAUUGGGUUUAAAGGGUGCGUAGGCGGCCUUAUAAGUCAGUGCUGAAAUAUCCCGGCUUAACCGGGAGGGUGGCAUUGAUACUGUAGGGCUUGAGUGAAGUCGAAGUAGGCGGAAUUGACGGUGUAGCGGUGAAACGCUUAGAUAUCGUCAAGAACACCGAUAGUGAAGACAGCUUACUAGGCUUUAACUGACGCUGAGGCACGAAAGUGUGGGGAUCAAACAGG
Molecule: ribosomal RNA, 253 nt
Filed under: uncultured bacterium
Lineage: Bacteria
Description: partial 16S ribosomal RNA
Rfam family: Bacterial small subunit ribosomal RNA
Source: RNAcentral